This 72-nucleotide transfer RNA is filed under the name Xiphophorus maculatus (southern platyfish). It matches the Rfam family "tRNA". From Rfam's summary of the family: Transfer RNA (tRNA) molecules are approximately 80 nucleotides in length. The record is from Rfam by way of RNAcentral. Lineage: Eukaryota; Metazoa; Chordata; Actinopteri; Cyprinodontiformes; Poeciliidae.
UCCUCGUUAGCAUAGUGGUGAUUAUCCCUGCCUGUCACGCGGGAGACCGGGGUUCGAUUCCCCGACGGGGAG